This 46-nucleotide non-coding RNA is filed under the name Trichobilharzia regenti. Lineage: Eukaryota; Metazoa; Platyhelminthes; Trematoda; Strigeidida; Schistosomatidae. The record is from RNAcentral.
GCAUUGCUGAAGAGUCCCAAACUAGGACGAAACAGUUGUCUAGUAC